Molecule: small nuclear RNA, 111 nt
Filed under: Procavia capensis (Cape rock hyrax)
Lineage: Eukaryota; Metazoa; Chordata; Mammalia; Hyracoidea; Procaviidae
Source: RNAcentral
GUGCUCACUUUGGCAGCACAUACACUAAAGUUGACAAUAAUACAAAGAAGAUUAUUAGCGUGGCCCCAGUGUAGUGACAACAUGCAAAUUCAUGAAAUGUUCUGUACUUAG